CCCUUAGAUGUUCUGGGCUGCACACGCGCUACACUGAAGGGAUCAGCGUGUUCUUUUCCUGGUCCGAAAGGAUCGGGUAACCCGCUGAACCCCCUUCGUGGUAGGGAUCGGAGCUUGCAAUUAUUCUCCGUGAACCAGGAAUUCCCAGUAAGCGCAAGUCAUAAGCUUGCGUUGAUUACGUCCCUGCCCUUUGUACACACCGCCCGUCGCUACUACCGAUUGGACGUUUUAGUGAGGAUUUUGGACUGAGCCAAUGGUGGUUCAAACCACUGUUGUGCAUGGAAAGAUCUCCAAACUUGAGCGUUUAGAGGAAGUAAAAGUCGUAACA
This 328-nucleotide ribosomal RNA is filed under the name uncultured eukaryote. Its description in RNAcentral is "partial 18S ribosomal RNA". It matches the Rfam family "Eukaryotic small subunit ribosomal RNA", at positions 1470 to 1796 of the family's 1831-position model. The record is from RNAcentral.